RNAcentral lists this transfer RNA (84 nucleotides) under Bacteroidota bacterium. RNAcentral's name for it is "Bacteroidetes bacterium (marine metagenome) tRNA-Leu". It matches the Rfam family "tRNA". From Rfam's summary of the family: Transfer RNA (tRNA) molecules are approximately 80 nucleotides in length. Their secondary structure includes four short double-helical elements and three loops (D, anti-codon, and T loops). Further hydrogen bonds mediate the characteristic L-shaped molecular structure. tRNAs have two regions of fundamental functional importance: the anti-codon, which is responsible for specific mRNA codon recognition, and the 3' end, to which the tRNAs corresponding amino acid is attached (by aminoacyl-tRNA synthetases). tRNAs cope with the degeneracy of the genetic code in two manners: having more than one tRNA (with a specific anti-codon) for a particular amino acid; and 'wobble' base-pairing, i.e. permitting non-standard base-pairing at the 3rd anti-codon position. The record is from RNAcentral. RNAcentral also lists the same sequence under 1 other name. Lineage: Bacteria; Pseudomonadati; Bacteroidota.
GCCCGGGUGGUGAAAUUGGUAGACACGCCAUCUUGAGGGGGUGGUGCUGGCAACAGCGUGCUGGUUCGAGUCCAGUCCCGGGCA